This 969-nucleotide ribosomal RNA is filed under the name Trigonopterus sp. 885 AR-2022a. Its description in RNAcentral is "SSU rRNA". It matches the Rfam family "Eukaryotic small subunit ribosomal RNA", at positions 23 to 931 of the family's 1831-position model. Lineage: Eukaryota; Metazoa; Arthropoda; Insecta; Coleoptera; Curculionidae. The record is from RNAcentral.
GUCAUAUGCUUGUCUCAAAGAUUAAGCCAUGCAUGUCUCAGUACAAGCCAAAUUAAGGUGAAACCGCGAAAGGCUCAUUAAAUCAGUUAUGGUUCCUUAGAUCGUACCCACAAUUACUUGGAUAACUGUGGUAAUUCUAGAGCUAAUACAUGCAAACAGAGCUCCGACCGGAGACGGGAGGAGUGCUUUUAUUAGAUCAAAACCAAUCGGUGGCGGGUUCGCGCUCGUCAUCGUACAACUUGGUGACUCUGAAUAACUUUACGCUGAUCGCACGGUCAUCGCACCGGCGACGCAUCUUUCAAAUGUCUGCCUUAUCAACUGUCGAUGGUAGGUUCUGCGCCUACCAUGGUUGUAACGGGUAACGGGGAAUCAGGGUUCGAUUCCGGAGAGGGAGCCUGAGAAACGGCUACCACAUCCAAGGAAGGCAGCAGGCGCGCAAAUUACCCACUCCCGGCACGGGGAGGUAGUGACGAAAAAUAACGAUACGGGACUCAUCCGAGGCCCCGUAAUCGGAAUGAGUACACUCUAAACCCUUUAACGAGGAUCAAUUGGAGGGCAAGUCUGGUGCCAGCAGCCGCGGUAAUUCCAGCUCCAAUAGCGUAUAUUAAAGUUGUUGCGGUUAAAAAGCUCGUAGUCGAAUUUGUGUCUCGCGCCGCCGGUUCAUCGUCCGCGGUGUUAACUGGCGAGUCGCGAGACGUCCUGCCGGUGGGCUUAGCUCGCGAGGGCGGCCCAACUCAAUCCUGCCGCGGUGCUCUUCAUUGAGUGUCGAGGUGGGCCGGCACGUUUACUUUGAACAAAUUAGAGUGCUUAAAGCAGGCUAAAACUUCGCCUGAAUACUGUGUGCAUGGAAUAAUGGAAUAGGACCUCGGUUCUAUUUUGUUGGUUUUCGGAACCCCGAGGUAAUGAUUAAUAGGAACGGAUGGGGGCAUUCGUAUUGCGACGUUAGAGGUGAAAUUCUUGGAUCGUCGC